Camponotus floridanus (Florida carpenter ant) is the source of this 497-nucleotide long non-coding RNA. RefSeq lists it as uncharacterized. The record is from RefSeq and is a predicted model, not a curated record. NCBI's taxonomy places the organism in Eukaryota, Metazoa, Arthropoda, Insecta, Hymenoptera, Formicidae. The transcript is spliced from 3 exons.
CAUAUUUUAAUAAUUUUCAACCACAUAGCAUAUAUAAAUAUUUAUGUGAUUAUCGAUGAUUUGUUAAAACCUGCUGUGCGCAUGCGAAAUUAGUCCCUAGAGAUAUCGCGUGAGUUUCGCGUGCUUUUCCCGCGUUUUUAUUUUUCUGCCAUUAAUCAAGUGCCCGUUGUCUACAAAGUCGGGAGUGUCGUAAAAAAUGUCGCGCGCUCAUUAACUGUAUUCAGGUGUAAUCCUAAUUAAUUGUUUUCGCGAGUGCCCGCGUAAUUGUAAUUAAGUGUUAUCGCGAGUGAGUGUCACGAAGGAGCAACAGCCGUGAAAUGAGAGAGAUGGAGGAGGAGGAGAUCCGGGGCCUCGGGCGACAUCGGAGCAAUCAUGGGAUCAACGCUGUGUAAUUCAGUCGCUGCGCAUCGCAUCGAAGAAGAGCGUUUGCCUGCGAUGAUCGCCGAUACCUUCGUGGACUUCACCCUCCAGAUAUCUACACUCUCGAUCGCCCUUAA